AGACAUGCGUAGUGCUCCCCUUGGUCCAGCGCGGGAAGCUCCCUCGUGAGUGUCCGAAACUAUUAGCUCACUCACUGCCUCAUGUGAAGAUUAACUCUUAAGUACUCCACAACUACACGCUUUUGAAACUGGCGUUGGCAUAGCGUUAGUUCUGUGCAGGGCGGACGCAGCAGGACAGAAUCUCCCUGGGCAUCUUUUCGGAGCAUCAAUUUUACUGCAAAAUUUUGAAAAAACAAAUUUAAUUGAUUUCCAAGGUUUGUCAAGGAGGACAGAAACUCAGAGCACCCUGCACUUGGGGAUCGGCACUAGGAGCUGCUCUCUGGAUGGGGAGAUGGGAGCUAGCAGCUCACAAUGGGGUCACAAGAUGCAUGGUGAAUAUUUGAUGUUUUAGAACAAAAAUGUAUUUACAAAUCUCAUUUGAUGCAGACAUCUGAAAAUACUCAGAAGUUACAAGAAUUCAUAAAAUACCCACCAAAGCUAAUAGAAAACAUGGAACCUUCCAGGACAAGAAGUAAAUUAAAAGAACAACCCAGAGGAGUAAUCAAAGUGAGAAGCCAGUGCCGCCUCCAGGUACUGGAUGAUCACAGGGACCUCAGGCUUUGGGGAUUAUUCAACUACCUUCUUGGAAUAAACAACAAAAAAAGUAC
This 647-nucleotide long non-coding RNA is filed under the name Homo sapiens (human). Its description in RNAcentral is "uncharacterized LOC101929050, transcript variant 14 (LOC101929050)". The record is from RNAcentral. Lineage: Eukaryota; Metazoa; Chordata; Mammalia; Primates; Hominidae.